UACAGGAUGGACCCGCGUCUGAUUAGCUAGUUGGUAAGGUAACGGCUUACCAAGGCGACGAUCAGUAGCCGACCUGAGAGGGUGAUCGGCCACAUUGGAACUGAGACACGGUCCAAACUCCUACGGGAGGCAGCAGUGGGGAAUAUUGCACAAUGGGCGAAAGCCUGAUGCAGCAACGCCGCGUGAGUGAUGAAGGCCUUCGGGUCGUAAAACUCUGUCCUCAAGGAAGAUAAUGACGGUACUUGAGGAGGAAGCCCCGGCUAACUACGUGCCAGCAGCCGCGGUAAUACGUAGGGGGCUAGCGUUAUCCGGAUUUACUGGGCGUAAAGGGUGCGUAGGCGGUCUUUCAAGUCAGGAGUGAAAGGCUACGGCUCAACCGUAGUAAGCUCUUGAAACUGGGAGACUUGAGUGCAGGAGAGGAGAGUGGAAUUCCUAGUGUAGCGGUGAAAUGCGUAGAUAUUAGGAGGAACACCAGUUGCGAAGGCGGCUCUCUGGACUGUAACUGACGCUGAGGCACGAAAGCGUGGGGAGCAAACAGGAUUAGAUACCCUGGUAGUCCACGCUGUAAACGAUGAGUAC
Molecule: ribosomal RNA, 579 nt
Filed under: Clostridioides difficile
Lineage: Bacteria; Bacillati; Bacillota; Clostridia; Peptostreptococcales; Peptostreptococcaceae
Description: bacterial SSU rRNA
Rfam family: Bacterial small subunit ribosomal RNA
Source: RNAcentral